GUAAGGGCCAUCGGGUGAGGCGUCCUCCCAAGGGGAGGACCGGGAAGCCGGUGAGAAUCCGGCGCGGACCCGCCACUGUGACCGGGGACGAAAGCGGUCCAAGAGGCCACCGGCGCUCAGCCGCCGGGAAGGCCGCCGCGAGUAGGGCGAUCCGGGAGCCAGGAGACCGGCCUCACCCGCCGCAUGCAC
This 189-nucleotide non-coding RNA is filed under the name Candidatus Tectimicrobiota. The record is from RNAcentral. Lineage: Bacteria; Pseudomonadati.